GAGCGGACUUCUUAAAAGCUUGCUUUUAAGAAGUCAGCGGCGGACGGGUGAGUAACACGUGGGCAACCUGCCUGUAAGACUGGGAUAACUUCGGGAAACCGGAGCUAAUACCGGAUAAUAUAAGGAACCUCCUGGUUCUUUAUUGAAAGAUGGUUUCGGCUAUCACUUACAGAUGGGCCCGCGGCGCAUUAGCUAGUUGGUGAGGUAAUGGCUCACCAAGGCGACGAUGCGUAGCCGACCUGAGAGGGUGAUCGGCCACACUGGGACUGAGACACGGCCCAGACUCCUACGGGAGGCAGCAGUAGGGAAUCUUCCACAAUGGACGAAAGUCUGAUGGAGCAACGCCGCGUGAGCGAUGAAGGCCUUCGGGUCGUAAAGCUCUGUUGUUAGGGAAGAACAAGUGCGAGAGUAACUGCUCGCACCUUGACGGUACCUAACCAGAAAGCCACGGCUAACUACGUGCCAGCAGCCGCGGUAAUACGUAGGUGGCAAGCGUUGUCCGGAAUUAUUGGGCGUAAAGCGCGCGCAGGUGGUCCUUUAAGUCUGAUGUGAAAGCCCACGGCUCAACCGUGGAGGGUCAUUGGAAACUGGGGGACUUGAGUGCAGAAGAGGAAAGUGGAAUUCCAAGUGUAGCGGUGAAAUGCGUAGAGAUUUGGAGGAACACCAGUGGCGAAGGCGACUUUCUGGUCUGUAACUGACACUGAGGCGCGAAAGCGUGGGGAGCAAACAGGAUUAGAUACCCUGGUAGUCCACGCCGUAAACGAUGAGUGCUAAGUGUUAGAGGGUUUCCGCCCUUUAGUGCUGCAGCUAACGCAUUAAGCACUCCGCCUGGGGGAGUACGGUCGCAAGACUGAAACUCAAAGGAAUUGACGGGGGCCCGCACAAGCGGUGGAGCAUGGUGGUUUAAUUCGAAGCAACGCGAAGAACCUUACCAGGUCUUGACAUCCUCUGACACUCCUAGAAGAUAGGACGUUCCCCUUCGGGGGGACAAAGUGACAGGUGGGUGCAUGGGUUGUCGUCAGCUCGUGUCGUGAGAAUGUUGGGUUAAGUCCCGCAACGAGCGCAACCCUUGAUCUUAGUUGCCAGCAUUCAGUUGGGCACUCUAAGGUGACUGCCGGUGACAAACCGGAAGGAAGGUGGGGGAUGACGU
This 1150-nucleotide ribosomal RNA is filed under the name Sutcliffiella horikoshii. RNAcentral's name for it is "bacterial SSU rRNA". It matches the Rfam family "Bacterial small subunit ribosomal RNA", at positions 64 to 1185 of the family's 1533-position model. Lineage: Bacteria; Bacillati; Bacillota; Bacilli; Caryophanales; Bacillaceae. The record is from RNAcentral.